CAGCUUGCUGGGUGGAUUAGUGGCGAACGGGUGAGUAACACGUGAGCAACCUGCCCCUGACUCUGGGAUAAGCGCUGGAAACGGCGUCUAAUACUGGAUACGAGUAGCGAUCGCAUGGUCAGUUACUGGAAAGAUUUUUUGGUUGGGGAUGGGCUCGCGGCCUAUCAGCUUGUUGGUGAGGUAAUGGCUCACCAAGGCGUCGACGGGUAGCCGGCCUGAGAGGGUGACCGGCCACACUGGGACUGAGACACGGCCCAGACUCCUACGGGAGGCAGCAGUGGGGAAUAUUGCACAAUGGGCGGAAGCCUGAUGCAGCAACGCCGCGUGAGGGAUGACGGCCUUCGGGUUGUAAACCUCUUUUAGCAGGGAAGAAGCGAAAGUGACGGUACCUGCAGAAAAAGCGCCGGCUAACUACGUGCCAGCAGCCGCGGUAAUACGUAGGGCGCAAGCGUUAUCCGGAAUUAUUGGGCGUAAAGAGCUCGUAGGCGGUUUGUCGCGUCUGCUGUGAAAUCCCGAGGCUCAACCUCGGGCCUGCAGUGGGUACGGGCAGACUAGAGUGCGGUAGGGGAGAUUGGAAUUCCUGGUGUAGCGGUGGAAUGCGCAGAUAUCAGGAGGAACACCGAUGGCGAAGGCAGAUCUCUGGGCCGUAACUGACGCUGAGGAGCGAAAGGGUGGGGAGCAAACAGGCUUAGAUACCCUGGUAGUCCACCCCGUAAACGUUGGGAACUAGUUGUGGGGUC
This 740-nucleotide ribosomal RNA is filed under the name Microbacterium aerolatum. RNAcentral's name for it is "bacterial SSU rRNA". It matches the Rfam family "Bacterial small subunit ribosomal RNA", at positions 76 to 829 of the family's 1533-position model. The record is from RNAcentral. Lineage: Bacteria; Bacillati; Actinomycetota; Actinomycetes; Micrococcales; Microbacteriaceae.